This 381-nucleotide ribosomal RNA is filed under the name uncultured bacterium. RNAcentral's name for it is "bacterial SSU rRNA". It matches the Rfam family "Bacterial small subunit ribosomal RNA", at positions 490 to 873 of the family's 1533-position model. The record is from RNAcentral.
GCGCCGGCUAACUCGGUGCCAGCAGCCGCGGUAAUACGGAGGGUGCAAGCGUUGUCCGGAUUUAUUGGGUUUAAAGGGUACGUAGGUGGCCUAUUAAGUCAGUGGUGAAAUUUUGCAGCUUAACUGUAAAACUGCCAUUGAUACUGGUAGGCUUGAGUAUUGUUGAGGCAGGCGGAAUUUAUGGUGUAGCGGUGAAAUGCAUAGAUACCAUAAAGAACACCGAUAGCGAAGGCAGCUUGCUAAGCAGUAACUGACACUAAUGUACGAAAGCGUGGGUAGCGAACAGGAUUAGAUACCCUGGUAGUCCACGCCGUAAACGAUGCUCACUCGAUGUAUGCGAUAUACUGUAUGCGUCCAAGCGAAAGCGUUAAGUGAGCCACC